CCACUACUGGCCUUCAUAUCCUUUGCCUGGAGUACUGCAGGACAACACCAAAAUGGUUCAGUUACUGCAGGUCUAACUCAUGGUGAAUGGACUGCAAUCAUCUGGAGCUCUGUUUUUCUCUCAACUGUUAUAGGUGUGAUUGUAGUCGGC
Molecule: long non-coding RNA, 150 nt
Organism: Sardina pilchardus (European sardine)
Lineage: Eukaryota; Metazoa; Chordata; Actinopteri; Clupeiformes; Clupeidae
Exons: 3
Source: RefSeq, a predicted model, not a curated record